GGUUAAGCGACUAAGCGUACACGGUGGAUGCCCUGGCAGUCAGAGGCGAUGAAGGACGUGCUAAUCUGCGAUAAGCGUCGGUGAGGUGAUAUGAACCGUUAUAACCGGCGAUUUCCGAAUGGGGAAACCCAGUGUGUUUCGACACACUAUCAUUAACUGAAUCCAUAGGUUAAUGAGGCGAACCGGGGGAACUGAAACAUCUAAGUACCCCGAGGAAAAGAAAUCAACCGAGAUUCCCCCAGUAGCGGCGAGCGAACGGGGAGGAGCCCAGAGCCUGAAUCAGUGUGUGUGUUAGUGGAAGCGUCUGGAAAGGCGUGCGAUACAGGGUGACAGCCCCGUACACAAAAAUGCACAUAUUGUGAGCUCGAUGAGUAGGGCGGGACACGUGGUAUCCUGUCUGAAUAUGGGGGGACCAUCCUCCAAGGCUAAAUACUCCUGACUGACCGAUAGUGAACCAGUACCGUGAGGGAAAGGCGAAAAGAACCCCGGCGAGGGGAGUGAAAAAGAACCUGAAACCGUGUACGUACAAGCAGUGGGAGCCUCUUAAUGGGGUGACUGCGUACCUUUUGUAUAAUGGGUCAGCGACUUAUAUUCUGUAGCAAGGUUAACCGAAUAGGGGAGCCGAAGGGAAACCGAGUCUUAACUGGGCGUUAAGUUGCAGGGUAUAGACCCGAAACCCGGUGAUCUAGCCAUGGGCAGGUUGAAGGUUGGGUAACACUAACUGGAGGACCGAACCGACUAAUGUUGAAAAAUUAGCGGAUGACUUGUGGCUGGGGGUGAAAGGCCAAUCAAACCGGGAGAUAGCUGGUUCUCCCCGAAAGCUAUUUAGGUAGCGCCUCGUGAAUUCAUCUCCGGGGGUAGAGCACUGUUUCGGCAAGGGGGUCAUCCCGACUUACCAACCCGAUGCAAACUGCGAAUACCGGAGAAUGUUAUCACGGGAGACACACGGCGGGUGCUAACGUCCGUCGUGAAGAGGGAAACAACCCAGACCGCCAGCUAAGGUCCCAAAGUCAUGGUUAAGUGGGAAACGAUGUGGGAAGGCCCAGACAGCCAGGAUGUUGGCUUAGAAGCAGCCAUCAUUUAAAGAAAGCGUAAUAGCUCACUGGUCGAGUCGGCCUGCGCGGAAGAUGUAACGGGGCUAAACCAUGCACCGAAGCUGCGGCAGCGACACUAUGUGUUGUUGGGUAGGGGAGCGUUCUGUAAGCCUGUGAAGGUGGCCUGUGAGGGUUGCUGGAGGUAUCAGAAGUGCGAAUGCUGACAUAAGUAACGAUAAAGCGGGUGAAAAGCCCGCUCG
RNAcentral lists this ribosomal RNA (1294 nucleotides) under Escherichia coli. RNAcentral's name for it is "partial 23S ribosomal RNA". It matches the Rfam family "Bacterial large subunit ribosomal RNA", at positions 1 to 1336 of the family's 2925-position model. The record is from RNAcentral. Lineage: Bacteria; Pseudomonadati; Pseudomonadota; Gammaproteobacteria; Enterobacterales; Enterobacteriaceae.